This 395-nucleotide long non-coding RNA is filed under the name Ananas comosus (pineapple). Its description in RNAcentral is "long non-coding RNA (ACOM_LNC036983)". The record is from RNAcentral. Lineage: Eukaryota; Viridiplantae; Streptophyta; Magnoliopsida; Poales; Bromeliaceae.
AUAUGUCUUACAUAUUCACUUAGCAUUUAGCUCUUGCAUUCAUUAGCAUACUUUACAUGCAUACAUUUCUUAGCAUCUUUAUCAUGGCACUAUAUACAUUUAUUAGCAUCAUUAUGGUGCAUUCUUACUUAACAUUCUUAUUAUGCAUUCUUACUUAACAUUCUUAUCAUGCAUCAAUAGUGAAACACACUACACUUUGGCAUGAAGGCGACCUAGUCGCUUCGGUAAGCACAACCCACCUUUUAACGCUUUCCGAUUGCUUGUCGUCACUUGCAAUCGGCCUCCCGCGGCAUCCGUGACCCGGUUCGGCUCGAACUCUUGCGCGACCACCCGAACGGCCACCAAUCCGCGAUCCGUCUGUUCGGGAGUUUAUUCCCCGACAUCGCGAUGCUCCC